UGACAGUCGAACGAACUCUGGUAUUGAUUGGUGCUUGCAUCAUGAUUUACAUUUGAGUGAGUGGCGAACUGGUGAGUAACACGUGGGAAACCUGCCCAGAAGCGGGGGAUAACACCUGGAAACAGAUGCUAAUACCGCAUAACAACUUGGACCGCAUGGUCCGAGCUUGAAAGAUGGCUUCGGCUAUCACUUUUGGAUGGUCCCGCGGCGUAUUAGCUAGAUGGUGGGGUAACGGCUCACCAUGGCAAUGAUACGUAGCCGACCUGAGAGGGUAAUCGGCCACAUUGGGACUGAGACACGGCCCAAACUCCUACGGGAGGCAGCAGUAGGGAAUCUUCCACAAUGGACGAAAGUCUGAUGGAGCAACGCCGCGUGAGUGAAGAAGGGUUUCGGCUCGUAAAACUCUGUUGUUAAAGAAGAACAUAUCUGAGAGUAACUGUUCAGGUAUUGACGGUAUUUAACCAGAAAGCCACGGCUAACUACGUGCCAGCAGCCGCGGUAAUACGUAGGUGGCAAGCGUUGUCCGGAUUUAUUGGGCGUAAAGCGAGCGCAGGCGGUUUUUUAAGUCUGAUGUGAAAGCCUUCGGCUCAACCGAAGAAGUGCAUCGGAAACUGGGAAACUUGAGUGCAGAAGAGGACAGUGGAACUCCAUGUGUAGCGGUGAAAUGCGUAGAUAUAUGGAAGAACACCAGUGGCGAAGGCGGCUGUCUGGUCUGUAACUGACGCUGAGGCUCGAAAGUAUGGGUAGCAAACAGGAUUAGAUACCCUGGUAGUCCAUACCGUAAACGAUGAAUGCUAAGUGUUGGAGGGUUUCCGCCCUUCAGUGCUGCAGCUAACGCAUUAAGCAUUCCGCCUGGGGAGUACGGCCGCAAGGCUGAAACUCAAAGGAAUUGACGGGGGCCCGCACAAGCGGUGGAGCAUGUGGUUUAAUUCGAAGCUACGCGAAGAACCUUACCAGGUCUUGACAUACUAUGCAAAUCUAAGAGAUUAGACGUUCCCUUCGGGGACAUGGAUACAGGUGGUGCAUGGUUGUCGUCA
RNAcentral lists this ribosomal RNA (1037 nucleotides) under Lactiplantibacillus plantarum. RNAcentral's name for it is "bacterial SSU rRNA". It matches the Rfam family "Bacterial small subunit ribosomal RNA", at positions 56 to 1057 of the family's 1533-position model. Lineage: Bacteria; Bacillati; Bacillota; Bacilli; Lactobacillales; Lactobacillaceae. The record is from RNAcentral.